AAGUCGUAACAAGGUUUCCGUAGGUGAACCUGCGGAAGGAUCAUUAAUGAAUUUGGAGAAUUGAUGCUGGCCUGUCGAGGGCUACUGGGACUUCGUGUACUCUGUUGCGGUUCUGCCCAUCAGCGCUGUUUUACCAUUAUUAACCCUUUAAAUUCUGAACUGAACUCAAAAACUCUGCUGACGUCCUUGCUGGCUUCGGUCACGGACUAGCGCAGCGCGAGUUUAUAAAUUACGAAACAAAGAACAACUCUUAGCAACGGAUAUCUUGGUUCUC
This 274-nucleotide unclassified non-coding RNA is filed under the name fungal sp. Its description in RNAcentral is "partial internal transcribed spacer region". The stretch from base 1 to 46 matches the Rfam family "Eukaryotic small subunit ribosomal RNA", at positions 1786 to 1831 of the family's 1831-position model. The record is from RNAcentral. Lineage: Eukaryota; Fungi.